RNAcentral lists this ribosomal RNA (389 nucleotides) under uncultured bacterium. RNAcentral's name for it is "bacterial SSU rRNA". It matches the Rfam family "Bacterial small subunit ribosomal RNA", at positions 972 to 1365 of the family's 1533-position model. The record is from RNAcentral.
UACCCACCUUUGACAUGUACGGAAUCCUGCAGAGACGCAGGAGUGCUCGAAAGAGAGCCGUAACACAGGUGCUGCAUGGCUGUCGUCAGCUCGUGUCGUGAGAUGUUGGGUUAAGUCCCGCAACGAGCGCAACCCUUGCCAUUAGUUGCUACGGAAGGGCACUCUAAUGGGACUGCCGGUGACAAACCGGAGGAAGGUGGGGAUGACGUCAAGUCCUCAUGGCCCUUAUAGGUGGGGCUACACACGUCAUACAAUAGCUGGUACAAAGGGUUGCCAACCCGCGAGGGGGGGCCAAUCCCACAAAGCCAGUCGUAGUCCGGAUCGCAGUCUGCAACUCGACUGCGUGAAGUCGGAAUCGCUAGUAAUCGUGGAUCAGCAUGUCACGGUGA